ACCGGGCACGGUGGUGUGCCUGUAGUCCCAGCUAUUCAGGAGGCUGUGGUGGGAGGAUCGCUUGAGCCCAGGAGUUCUGGGCUGUAGUGUGCUAUUCUGAUCGGGUGUCUGCACUAAUUUCAGCAUCAAUAUGGUGAUCUCCAGGGAGGAGGAGACCACCAGGUUGCCUAAGGAGGGGUGAACCAUCCCAGGUCGGAAACGGAGCAGGUCAAAACUCCCGUGCUGAUCAGUAGUGGGAUUGCACCUGUGAAUAGCCACUGCACUCCAGUCUGGGCAACAUAGCGAGACACCGUCUCUU
Molecule: unclassified non-coding RNA, 298 nt
Organism: Callithrix jacchus (white-tufted-ear marmoset)
Lineage: Eukaryota; Metazoa; Chordata; Mammalia; Primates; Cebidae
Rfam family: Metazoan signal recognition particle RNA
About the family: The signal recognition particle (SRP) is a universally conserved ribonucleoprotein. It is involved in the co-translational targeting of proteins to membranes.
Source: Ensembl